This is a long non-coding RNA of Brassica rapa (field mustard), 506 nucleotides long. RefSeq lists it as uncharacterized. The record is from RefSeq and is a predicted model, not a curated record. Lineage: Eukaryota; Viridiplantae; Streptophyta; Magnoliopsida; Brassicales; Brassicaceae.
UUAGGCAACUAGCUGUCGUGUCUUGCGCGGCGAAAAGGACUCCGAUGAUGUUGUCCGCAAUCUGUUCUUGGGUUAGCAUACGACCUUCAUCGUCCUUAAAGUCGAGUAGAUGACCAAGAAAAGAUGAGAUCAUACCAUGAGAGCUUUGUGGUAAGAUGUUCCGGGGAGAUUCAUGGGGAAAGAGUUGUAGCCUUUGUCGACAAUAUUGUAGUUAUGUUUCAACAUAUCCCUGUAAGAACACUCCAAAUGGCCAAAUAUGGCUACAAUACCCACAUCAAAAGCGAACUGCAAGAAAAAGAAAGCAAGUGAAGAAAAUGCAUUGUGUAUUUAUUUUUUUAUUGGUAUACAUAUGAACAUAUAUAUAUAUAUAUAUACACAUACCUUCUUCAUUUCUUGGUAUGUAGAGACAAUAGGCAUAUUGGCCAAAGAUUGUAAAGAAGAUAGGGCAAUGUGUUCGAUAUCAGGGAUAAGUUUCCGGAUGGUUUCAGGGUAUAAAGAGGAUUGAA